CAAGUCGAACGGUGAACACGGAGCUUGCUCUGUGGGAUCAGUGGCGAACGGGUGAGUAACACGUGAGCAACCUGCCCUGGACUCUGGGAUAAGCGCUGGAAACGGCGUCUAAUACUGGAUAUGAGACGUGGCCGCAUGGUCAACGUUUGGAAAGAUUUUUCGGUCUGGGAUGGGCUCGCGGCCUAUCAGCUUGUUGGUGAGGUAAUGGCUCACCAAGGCGUCGACGGGUAGCCGGCCUGAGAGGGUGACCGGCCACACUGGGACUGAGACACGGCCCAGACUCCUACGGGAGGCAGCAGUGGGGAAUAUUGCACAAUGGGCGAAAGCCUGAUGCAGCAACGCCGCGUGAGGGAUGACGGCCUUCGGGUUGUAAACCUCUUUUAGCAGGGAAGAAGCGAGAGUGACGGUACCUGCAGAAAAAGCACCGGCUAACUACGUGCCAGCAGCCGCGGUAAUACGUAGGGUGCAAGCGUUAUCCGGAAUUAUUGGGCGUAAAGAGCUCGUAGGCGGUUUGUCGCGUCUGCUGUGAAAUCUGGGGGCUCAACCCCCAGCCUGCAGUGGGUACGGGCAGACUAGAGUGCGGUAGGGGAGAUUGGAAUUCCUGGUGUAGCGGUGGAAUGCGCAGAUAUCAGGAGGAACACCGAUGGCGAAGGCAGAUCUCUGGGCCGUAACUGACGCUGAGGAGCGAAAGGGUGGGGAGCAAACAGGCUUAGAUACCCUGGUAGUCCACCCCGUAAACGUUGGGAACUAGUUGUGGGGUCCAUUCCACGGAUUCCGUGACGCAGCUAACGCAUUAAGUUCCCCGCCUGGGGAGUACGGCCGCAAGGCUAAAACUCAAAGGAAUUGACGGGGACCCGCACAAGCGGCGGAGCAUGCGGAUUAAUUCGAUGCAACGCGAAGAACCUUACCAAGGCUUGACAUAUACGAGAACGGGCCAGAAAUGGUCAACUCUUUGGACACUCGUAAACAGGUGGUGCAUGGUUGUCGUCAGCUCGUGUCGUGAGAUGUUGGGUUAAGUCCCGCAACGAGCGCAACCCUCGUUCUAUGUUGCCAGCACGUAAUGGUGGGAACUCAUGGGAUACUGCCGGGGUCAACUCGGAGGAAGGUGGGGAUGACGUCAAAUCAUCAUGCCCCUUAUGUCUUGGGCUUCACGCAUGCUACAAUGGCCGGUACAAAGGGCUGCAAUACCGUGAGGUGGAGCGAAUCCCAAAAAGCCGGUCCCAGUUCGGAUUGAGGUCUGCAACUCGACCUCAUGAAGUCGGAGUCGCUAGUAAUCGCAGAUCAGCAACGCUGCGGUGAAUACGUUCCCGGGUCUU
Molecule: ribosomal RNA, 1316 nt
Filed under: Microbacterium sp. M47-2
Lineage: Bacteria; Bacillati; Actinomycetota; Actinomycetes; Micrococcales; Microbacteriaceae
Description: bacterial SSU rRNA
Rfam family: Bacterial small subunit ribosomal RNA
Source: RNAcentral